This 468-nucleotide ribosomal RNA is filed under the name uncultured bacterium. RNAcentral describes it as "partial 16S ribosomal RNA". It matches the Rfam family "Bacterial small subunit ribosomal RNA", at positions 28 to 507 of the family's 1533-position model. The record is from RNAcentral.
GACGAACGCUGGCGGCGUGCUUAACACAUGCAAGUCGAACGGAAAGGCCCUGCUUUUGUGGGGUGCUUGAGUGGCGAACGGGUGAGUAACACGUGAGUAACCUGCCCUUGACUUUGGGAUAACUUCAGGAAGCUGGGGCUAAUACCGGAUAGGAGCUCCUGCUGCAUGGUGGGGGUUGGAAAGUUUCGGCGGUUGGGGAUGGACUCGCGGCUUAUCAGCUUGUUGGUGGGGUAGUGGCUUACCAAGGCUUUGACGGGUAGCCGGCCUGAGAGGGUGACCGGCCACAUUGGGACUGAGAUACGGCCCAGACUCCUACGGGAGGCAGCAGUGGGGAAUAUUGCACAAUGGGCGGAAGCCUGAUGCAGCAACGCCGCGUGCGGGAUGACGGCCUUCGGGUUGUAAACCGCUUUCGCCUGUGACGAAGCGUGAGUGACGGUAAUGGGUAAAGAAGCACCGGCUAACUACGUG